CCCCUUCCAUCGGUCGAGCCGAUUGCCUAUAUCUGGCGAGCCGGUUCGUCCGACUAUGGCGAUAAACGGUUCGUGGAAUAAGCGUUGUGGACCCGGGGGCAGUGCCCGGCGCCUCCACCAUAGGGGGGCGAAACAGGCUCGACACGCGUGGUAAAGACGGACUUUUCGCUCG
Molecule: transfer-messenger RNA, 172 nt
Filed under: Rhodospirillales bacterium
Lineage: Bacteria; Pseudomonadati; Pseudomonadota; Alphaproteobacteria; Rhodospirillales
Description: partial transfer-messenger RNA
Rfam family: Alphaproteobacteria transfer-messenger RNA
About the family: Bacterial tmRNA, also known as 10Sa RNA or SsrA, is named for its dual tRNA and mRNA-like properties. Its role is to liberate the mRNA from a stalled ribosome.
Source: RNAcentral